AUUACCCAUUUUACAGAUUUAUUUGAUCUUCAUGCCCCCAUUUUACAGACGAGGAAGCUGAGGCUGGGAGAAGUGAGAUGCCCCUUAGCUGCCCCACCCCCACCCCCCAUCUGCUACUGGCAAGUUUAAAUACCAGCCUGUUUCAGCUCAGAAGUUCAAGCAAUUCUCCUGCCUCAGCCUCCCGAGUAGCUGGGAUUACAGGCAUGAACCACCACGCCCGGCUAAUUUUGUAUUUUUAGUAGAGACGGGGUUUCUCAUGUUGAGGCUGGUCUCGAACUCCUGACCUCCAGGUGAUCCGCCCGCCUCGGCCUCCCUAAGUGCUGGGAUUACAGGCGUCAGCCACCCCGCCCGGCCGGCCUGAAUUUAAAAAUCAAAGUGGCAGCCUGUUGUCCUCGGUUCCUUAGUGUUGGAAAGGGUCUAGUCACAUCCUUGUGCUGGGUGCUUGGCUGGGUGGAUGGGGCUUUAAGGGAGACAGAAAACAGAAACCGCCUCUCCACUGCGCAUCACAUUUGCUGUUAAAAGAAUUCCGCAUGCUUCACAAGGGCUGCCUCCAGAGUCCUUUGCAAAUCCCCAAAUUGGCAAUUCCUGCUACUGUAUUUAAUUUCCCACUAAACUGCAGAAAAAUUUAACAGAAAAACUUCAGUGUCCCCUUCAGACUGCACGAUGCUCUAAAUGAACAUUAAUUCUGCCGCAAAAAUAAGCUCAACACCACCUUACAUUGCACUAUUUGCAUGAGAACACUGAACAUUACUUUCUAGAAUCUACACAGUCAACUCUAGCUGUUGACUUUCUCCAGGGGCGUGGGAGAGGUAUGUUUCACCAACGAUGUCACUUUAGGGCAGGUACAGCGUGCAUGACUGCAUGGCCCACAGAAGCAGGACCCAACAAUGACAGUGGCUCAGUGGAUCCAGGAGCAGUCCUCUGGCCACGUGGCCUUCUCUCUUGCUUUCCUAUUGAAACCUGCACGUGCCCAUGUGUUAGAGACACGAGUUUGCAACUCUGGCCUUGGAUAAAUUCUUAGCGUCUGCAACCUCAGCUAGGUCUACAUCUUUUCUGGGACAAAAAUUCCAAGGAGUCCCUAUUCCCUCAGUAAAUACCUCCCUCUAAUGGGUGGGGGCUAGGGUUGGACAAGGGUAGGUUUGGGGGAGAGUGAGGAAGAAGUUCCACAGGACAGGUUUCCACCUAACAGAGCAGGGCACUUUGUAUUGGAAGGUCAUGGAAGCUGAGGCUGGAGGUUCGCUUGCUCUCCUCUUUCUGGACUCGAAUGAGUUGUCAUUUGCCUCUGCUGGAAGCAGUUGGUCUCACUUUCUGCUGAAUUCCUGGACUCAUUUAUCGGCCUUGCCUCCUAGAGUGUUUUAUUUUCUUCGUAAACUGCCUUUACUUUAUUAAGAUUCAUCUCUAAUUGAUCUUUUCUGUACAGAGGCUACCCAUGAGAAGCUGCCCAGCAGAGCUAAUAAAUAAAGGCAGGAGGAACAUGAGUUGGGAUAUCGGUAGCACCCAGCAAGUGGCCACCAUUAUUAUGACCUUGUGUACAUUUUUAAAUCUCUGUGCCUCAGUUUCCUCAUCUGUAAAGUGAGGAUAGCAAUAAUGCAUGAUCUCAUAGGGUGAGGCUUAAAUAAGCUGUUGUAGGAAAAACACUUAAAACAAUGGCUGCCCCAUAGAAAAGACCCAGGAAUGUUAGCUAUCAAAUAAUUCAGUACUGAAAUAAUGGAAUAAUGAAGAGACAGUAUGGCAUGAUGAAAACGACAUGGUCUGUAAUUUCAUAUAAUCCAUGUCUAGGUUUUACCACUUAUUAGCUCUCAGCAGAAAAGUUCUCCCCACUCUAUGAGCCUAAGUUUCAUUUUCUCCAAAUGGGAAUAAUGAUUGUACGGCCUCCUGGGGUUGCUGGCAAGGUUCAUUAACUUUAAAUGUCUCACUGUGCAAAAGCCAGUCACCACAGCAGGCCUGACUGCAAGGCUUGGCCUGGGGCUGGCAUCUGGGAAGGUGGAUUUCAAGAGAGUUCCCACCACUUCCUGACAAGAGUAGUUCACUGUGACUAAACCAUUUGCACAAACAGCAUGGUUUAUGCUGGACACCUGCUUUCCUUCUGGGAAUGUUGUCACAUCCCAGGCAGAUGGUGUCUAUGUGACCAGCCCCCAAUAAAAACCCUGGACACUGAGUCUCUAAUGAGCAGUUCACAGGUGUUGUUACAAUUCAUUGCUAAGGAAAUCCUGUGUGUCCUGGGCAGCUCUAGGGGGAGAGAGCUCUGUAAGCUUCCACCUGGCUUCUUCUGUACUUAGUUCUCAGUGCCUUUUCCAUGUACUGAUUUUGCUCGGUAUCCUUUCAC
Molecule: long non-coding RNA, 2326 nt
Filed under: Homo sapiens (human)
Lineage: Eukaryota; Metazoa; Chordata; Mammalia; Primates; Hominidae
Description: non-protein coding lnc-NFATC2-3:1
Source: RNAcentral